This 3906-nucleotide long non-coding RNA is filed under the name Bemisia tabaci. RNAcentral describes it as "lncRNA ENSSSA2NGG004530". Lineage: Eukaryota; Metazoa; Arthropoda; Insecta; Hemiptera; Aleyrodidae. The record is from RNAcentral.
AUGUAUUAUGUCCAGCUUUCAUAUUGUGUUAUAUCUAAUAAUAAAAUAUUUCAUUUUUACAAUAAGUGUGAACACAUUUGUUUUAGAUCAAAUACCUGCAUCCCCUAUCCCAUCUACUGCUCCGCCGGACAAAUUAACGAUUCCACGAGGAUUCUUCAAAAGUUUAAAAACGCAUGUAAAGAGGGGCCAACUUACACAAGUGCGACUUGCGGUUGCAUGCAUUUUCGUCACUACGUAAGACAUCAUGCUGAUGUGGUACAAGAACUGUCCAACAUCACAAUUCCUGAAAAGUCCGACAGAUCGUAUAUCUCUCAAAAAACAGCCCCGGAAAAUAUGUACUCGAAAUUAAACGUUCUAUGAUUCGUCUUCUUCAUUCCGUGAAAAUAGUGCGUUCAAUCAACCUAACCGAAAAAAGAGGAAACAUGAGCUUAAUUUUCGAAGAAUCCCCUCUGUAUAAGUUAGUCUCUGUGUAAGUAGUCGGUGAGUAUCUACGUAGUUUAUUUUUCAUCUUUUAUUUUAUCCUUCUGCAUUCAUUCAAUAUGUCCAAUUCAAAAAUGAAAAUUUUAAAAUGGCUCAAUUUUUCAAAGUUAUUUUGAAAUAUAAUAUGUAUCUAUAGCACUGCGGUAUCUUCUACUUUUUAAAAUUGUCCCUUUGUGUUCCUUUGCCGUUUCUAAGACAAAAUUUCUAUUCGAGUUUUGAUUUAUUUGAAAAUAUUAUUUGCUUGUCGCUAUUUUUCCUAAGCCUGGACUGACUUUAAAAUCUGAAUCAAUAUUCGGUAUCAAUGUUCUUCACACUGUUAUAUAUCUGGGAGUGAAAUUCGGUGUAUAUUUCAUCUUAGAGGCUCUCUAGCGAACAAAUAACCCGCGUGGUGCGAAUGCGAGGUUAAAUUAGCUUAAUUCAUAAGAGUAUACGACACUUUGCAAAAAGUGGUAAAAUCCACUCCAUUAAUCCUAUCCCUCGGGAUCUUUGGAUCUAGUGUCGACUCCAGAGUGAAAAACAGUAAGCAGUAUUUAGCGGCUCGUGAGAAAUUUUCCUAAGAGAAGUUACUCAAAGGUCAUCAAAUUUGAUGGAAUAGGAGUUUUGUCCAAAUAGUAAAGGGUCCUUUGCCAGCAUUCAAAUGAUAACCCUAAACCACAUACUGAAUGUAAUGAAUUCCUUUCCUUUGUAUAUUUUUUCAGAGCAAGAUGCUCCUGGCACAUUUCCUGUUUUGCCUGCUAAGAAGCAAGAAUUUGUAUCCUUGAUUUUCUCCCAUUUAUUCCGAUCUGAAUGACUAGACGGGGGGGGGGGGGGUGGUGCGCCGCUCCGCUCAAAACUUCUAAUAUGAAAGGGCGCAGCCUUAGAUCGGCAGGGGCGCGCGAAGAUAUCUAGUUACACCACUGUAAGGCAAGUGGACCAGUGAAUGCCACCUCCAUGAUUACUUGUAAAUAUUAAGCCAUAGGUUCAGGAUCAGGUGAAGGAAAAAUUAAUUUUAAAAUCACCAACAGAUGGCAGCUCAGAACAACAACAGCUGAGAGCGUCAACAAAGAAGAGGAAAGCAGGAGGUGUUUACUUACUUAAGUUUUUGGUAAGAAACCGCAAGUUCUUUAUCAAUUAUUUAUCUUAUUUCUAUUGUUCCAUAGGUUAUGAAAACUUUUAAAGACAUAACUGAUGUAAUUAUGUAACUAAUUUCAUCGUAUUCAUAGUUAAAAAUUGAUUUUAAGAUUGUCCAGGGGUGGCAGUAACCAGUUCACUCAUUUUCUGGGAUCGCCAGUGAGUGCCAUAGGUGGCAUCUACCAGUGCAGGUUUUUGGGAUGACUUAGUGAAUGCCACUCUGCUUUAUAACUUUUUCUUAGAUCAUCAAUGAAAAUGUUCCAUAUUCUUUUACAUUUUUGACUUCAAAAAUACCAAAUAGUGUACUAUAUAGGAUUACUAAAUCAUCAGUGUUGAUGUAACUCUAAGGAACACAAAUUUUAAACUCUAUUCCUUGUGUAGAGAAUUGAACUCGUUGUUAACUUUGAGAAAGUUCGUUUAAUUUUCUCCUUUUUGCUUUUCAGCCAUGGCCAGGGCCAGAAAGAAUCGAGCAAGCAAAGCUAAGAAAAGCGCCACCAAGAAGAAUAGAGAGCCAAAAUUUUCCUAUACAGUUGAUGCUAUAAGAGAUUGUGAGGCCAAUAAUCUCGUUGCUAUGCGAAAUUCCUGGCCUCGACUUCGUUGAUGAGUCAUCUCGAAAUCAAUAUCCCAGGCGCCCCAUAGUCGCCGAGAUUCCCCAUGCUUUGACGAAUUAAUGUCCUGCGCCGUCAAGCGCCCGAGAUGUCUUGACCAGCUCCCGACGCAUUCUAUUCACAUUCUUAAUUUAUCUCUCUUACUUAAAGUAUCUCUGCUCCGCAGCUCAGGUUUGUGCCCUCAAGCACUAUGUCACAAUUAGUGACUCCGAUUGAGUCUCGUUAAGGCUCCGGUUACAAUUUAGUAACUGCGAACGAGUUUCGUUACAACUCAAACCUUCGACGGUGUUACGCACAACACAACCAGUCCGAGUACUUUACACUCACUUCGUUUUACACGCGUUAAGUGUUAAAUCGGUGGUAACACGUAAGUUACAUUCGACCGCGUACGUUACACGCAAACCCGACCGCGUACGUUACACGCAACCCGACCGCAUACGUUACAUGCAAAACUUCAGCAUCAAUCGUUAUAUGGGGCGCUAAGACGUUACACCUCACUUUAAAAUGAUUCUUAUACUUUUGGGAACGCUCUGCUUUCUCAACUCAACGCUAGCAAUGUCCUUUCUUCAUCCGUCCUUGACAGGUUUUGAUUGCACCGAAAAUCCAAGCAGUGUGGUUGAAAUUUCCUUAAAUGAGAAUGGACUUAGCUGUUCCUACAGCCCCGGCAGAUGUGCUUCCAACAAAACCAAUAACUCCUAAAAAUAUUAUCCUUUCCGCAGUCCUCUACGAAAUUGGCAGAUUAAAAUCACUUGAAUCACCUACCCCAGUUUUCUUUUACGCCUGGGGACCCCAAAACGAAAUUGCAAUUAUAUUUUUCCUUGUACCCAGAAUUAAAAUCGGAAUCAGAUCAUACUAUUGAGCUUAAUUUUCAACCAAAACUAAGCACAAUCAGAAUUUCAAGAUCUCAAGGCCCACCAAUAUUUUCUAUUGAACUAAUGGUCACAGAAGCUGAAGAACUUACUUUCAGCAUCCAUAAAUAAUUUUAAAAAUACCUGAUAUGUCCUCUUCUGAAGUUACCAAAUGCUAUUUUAGUCAGUGCAGUGAUACACAAAUCUUAAACUUUUUGAAUCAUAUUCUCCACUACAAACGUAUCCUUCCCCUUUCAAAUCAAUUUUGCACCUAUUUUUCAAUAAUUGCUUCCGCUGAAAAUUGCUCUUACAUGCGAAGCAAAAUUAUGAACUUUGUAGCUCGACCCUUUCCUAUCAAGAAAGUGUAGAAUCGCUUCUAAUUUACGAUGGUAAACUCUAUUUAAUGGUCAACUCUACCAAAUUUAGCCUAGUCAUUGAUUUCAUUAUUACAAAAAAUCACAAUAAUAUUUCUCUUUUGCACCAUUCAACAGACUCUAAUUUAACUGAUCCAACACUCCAUUCUUAAGACUUAUCUUCCUUGCAAUGAUUUCUAUGGAAUUAUCCUUUACCACUUGGAUCUGAUUCUCGAAAGAAUAAAAAUUGGAUUUCUUCAACCCUCUCUUAUUGUUUCCAUCUCCCUACCCUUCGAAAAUCAAUUGUUUUACUCAGAAAUUAUCACAAGGUGUUGUAACAUAACCCAAUGGAAUGAAGUUUUAACUCUUGAUACUACUGAAAAUUGGAUUUCCCUCACAGCCUCAGGACUUUUGGUUUUUCAAUUAACUCUAAGAAACUCUCCCAAUCUCCAUAUUACUUUCUUCACCGUCCCCAAACACUUGCAUAAUUCUUUCUUGCUUAAUUUG